ACCCUGAUGACCUUAGUGUCA
RNAcentral lists this microRNA (21 nucleotides) under Nematostella vectensis (starlet sea anemone). RNAcentral describes it as "nve-miR-2038-5p". The record is from miRBase by way of RNAcentral. Lineage: Eukaryota; Metazoa; Cnidaria; Anthozoa; Actiniaria; Edwardsiidae.